RNAcentral lists this ribosomal RNA (1372 nucleotides) under uncultured bacterium. Its description in RNAcentral is "bacterial SSU rRNA". It matches the Rfam family "Bacterial small subunit ribosomal RNA", at positions 28 to 1381 of the family's 1533-position model. The record is from RNAcentral.
GAUGAACGCUGGCGGCGUGCCUAAUACAUGCAAGUCGAGCGAACGGACGAGAAGCUUGCUUUUCUGAUGUUAGCGGCGGACGGGUGAGUAACACGUGGAUAACCUACCUAUAAGACUGGGAUAACUUCGGGAAACCGGAGCUAAUACCGGAUAAUAUUUUGAACCGCAUGGUUCAAAAGUGAAAGACGGUCUUGCUGUCACUUAUAGAUGGAUCCGCGCUGCAUUAGCUAGUUGGUAAGGUAACGGCUUACCAAGGCAACGAUGCAUAGCCGACCUGAGAGGGUGAUCGGCCACACUGGAACUGAGACACGGUCCAGACUCCUACGGGAGGCAGCAGUAGGGAAUCUUCCGCAAUGGGCGAAAGCCUGACGGAGCAACGCCGCGUGAGUGAUGAAGGUCUUCGGAUCGUAAAACUCUGUUAUUAGGGAAGAACAUAUGUGUAAGUAACUGUGCACAUCUUGACGGUACCUAAUCAGAAAGCCACGGCUAACUACGUGCCAGCAGCCGCGGUAAUACGUAGGUGGCAAGCGUUAUCCGGAAUUAUUGGGCGUAAAGCGCGCGUAGGCGGUUUUUUAAGUCUGAUGUGAAAGCCCACGGCUCAACCGUGGAGGGUCAUUGGAAACUGGAAAACUUGAGUGCAGAAGAGGAAAGUGGAAUUCCAUGUGUAGCGGUGAAAUGCGCAGAGAUGUGGAGGAACACCAGUGGCGAAGGCGACUUUCUGGUCUGUAACUGACGCUGAUGUGCGAAAGCGUGGGGAUCAAACAGGAUUAGAUACCCUGGUAGUCCACGCCGUAAACGAUGAGUGCUAAGUGUUAGGGGGUUUCCGCCCCUUAGUGCUGCAGCUAACGCAUUAAGCACUCCGCCUGGGGAGUACGACCGCAAGGUUGAAACUCAAAGGAAUUGACGGGGGCCCGCACAAGCGGUGGAGCAUGUGGUUUAAUUCGAAGCAACGCGAAGAACCUUACCAAAUCUUGACAUCCUUUGACAACUCUAGAGAUAGAGCCUUCCCCUUCGGGGGACAAAGUGACAGGUGGUGCAUGGCUGUCGUCAGCUCGUGUCGUGAGAUGUUGGGUUAAGUCCCGCAACGAGCGCAACCCUUAAGCUUAGUUGCCAUCAUUAAGUUGGGCACUCUAAGUUGACUGCCGGUGACAAACCGGAGGAAGGUGGGGAUGACGUCAAAUCAUCAUGCCCCUUAUGAUUUGGGCUACACACGUGCUACAAUGGACAAUACAAAGGGCAGCGAAACCGCGAGGUCAAGCAAAUCCCAUAAAGUUGUUCUCAGUUCGGAUUGUAGUCUGCAACUCGACUACAUGAAGCUGGAAUCGCUAGUAAUCGUAGAUCAGCAUGCUACGGUGAAUACGUUCCCGGGUCU